This 335-nucleotide non-coding RNA is filed under the name Pongo abelii (Sumatran orangutan). Lineage: Eukaryota; Metazoa; Chordata; Mammalia; Primates; Hominidae. The record is from RNAcentral.
UCUAGGCAUGUGUGGGCCGUUGCAGCCUGAAUUAAUCAGGAGGGAAGAAGAAGUGCGAUGAUACUGGCCAGUGAUACACAGUGGGAGACAGAUUGUGGAACUGCCCAUGAGGCCAAGCACCUAUUAGUAGACCAAGAAGCAUCACCCAUCCGUGGCCUAAGUUGGCAGCCAGCUAUUGUUCUCAUCUGAGUCUGGGAGUUCAGGAUUUCCAUCCUGACCCGGCUACUUUCUUUCAACAGUUACCCACUGUAAAUUUCCGAAUACUUUCAGCUACUAAUCCCAGUGUACCCAAUUAAAAAUGGCUUUCCUAAUAAAGGCAUUUCCGAUCGAAUUUA